This 74-nucleotide transfer RNA is filed under the name Streptomyces diastatochromogenes. RNAcentral's name for it is "tRNA-Cys". It matches the Rfam family "tRNA". Rfam says of the family: Transfer RNA (tRNA) molecules are approximately 80 nucleotides in length. Their secondary structure includes four short double-helical elements and three loops (D, anti-codon, and T loops). The record is from RNAcentral. Lineage: Bacteria; Bacillati; Actinomycetota; Actinomycetes; Kitasatosporales; Streptomycetaceae.
GACCGUGUGCCCGAGUGGUUGAGGGCUCGCCUGCAAAGCGAGUUACGUCGGUUCGAUUCCGAUCACGGUCUCCA